GGCAGCGUGGCUCAAUGGAAAGAGCCCGGGCUGGGGAGUCCGAGGUCAUGGGUUCGAAUCCCGCCUCCGCCG
Molecule: non-coding RNA, 72 nt
Organism: Ornithorhynchus anatinus (platypus)
Lineage: Eukaryota; Metazoa; Chordata; Mammalia; Monotremata; Ornithorhynchidae
Source: Rfam